This is a non-coding RNA of Zootermopsis nevadensis, 366 nucleotides long. Lineage: Eukaryota; Metazoa; Arthropoda; Insecta; Blattodea; Termopsidae. The record is from RefSeq and is a predicted model, not a curated record.
UGUGCAGGAGGACGCAACAGGACAUCAGACGCGCUCUCUACUGAAAAGUACGAACCUGCAGAAGACACGUGGACCGAAAUCCCUGGCAUGAACGUCUAUUCAGAUUAUUUAAAUGCAGAAGUGAUCGACGACACGAUCUUUGUCAUUAGUAGAUAUUUUGACAAGGACCACUUCGAAUCCCGCGUCGCAUGUUUCAAUGACAAGAAAAAUCGAUGGUACGUGGUGGCAAACAUGAAUGUUAGUAGAUCCUUUCUGUCGACUUGUGUCAUCAAGAACCUACCGAAUGCAAGAGAUUAUGCCUAAAAACACCAAGACAAAUUGAUGAAGGAGAAAUUCAAAAAGAUGAUGGCGGAGUAACGUAAAAAA